Molecule: RNA transcript, 2124 nt
Organism: Populus trichocarpa (black cottonwood)
Lineage: Eukaryota; Viridiplantae; Streptophyta; Magnoliopsida; Malpighiales; Salicaceae
Gene name: serine/threonine-protein kinase PBL34
Exons: 8
Source: RefSeq, a predicted model, not a curated record
UGUACACACUGCGAUGAUGGUGAUGAUGAUGCCUGCGAUCUUUAACAGCAGCAGCAACACCAACAAGACCAACAAGACCAACACUAACGCAAACAACAACAUUAACAUUUUUCAAUUCCUCUCUCUCUCACACACUCACUUUCUUUUUCUUCUUCAUCAGUUCACUCAUAACAAAACAUAACAUAACCCAACCAUGACCAAUCUCUACUCACCUGUCUAUCACAUCCCAUGCAAUCAUAGUGACAACCCAUGAUAUAAAAUUAGAAAACAAGAACCCAAAAAGAAAACUAAACAAAGUUAUGGAUAGCAAGUGUGGUUGCUGGGCUGUCUUAAAACGUGGAGUUAGAGGUUCUUGCAAGUCCUCUGCCUCUAGAGAUUCUGCUAACGCGAUCCCUCGUACUAGUCUUGUUUACGAUGCAGGAACUGGGAAAUGCAAGUUCUAUUUCAGUUUACAAGGUUAUCAUGCUACUGAAACAAGAUACCUAAAUGCAAGCAAUCGAGAGUUAUGUGCUCAUAAUGAAGCACAACUAUCUUCUGAUAAUCCUGAUCCACAAGAUAAGAAAUCUCCAUGCCAGUUGCUGCAGUUUACCUUUCAAGAACUAAAAUCAUCAACGGGGAAUUUUAGGCCUGAUAGCAUUCUUGGAGAGGGCGGAUUUGGAUAUGUGUUUAAAGGAUGGAUAGAGGAAAAUGGAACAGCACCAGCAAAACCUGGGUCGGGAAUCACAGUCGCGGUGAAGAGCUUAAAGCCAGAUGGUCUUCAAGGCCAUAGAGAAUGGGUGGCUGAAGUUGAUUUUCUUGGACAGCUUCACCAUCCUAAUCUCGUUAAGCUUAUUGGUUACUGCAUCGAGGAUGAUCAACGGCUUCUUGUUUAUGAAUUUAUGACGCGAGGGAGUCUUGAAAAUCAUCUUUUUAGAAGGACAAUACCUCUUCCAUGGUCCAACAGGAUUAAGAUUGCACUUGGGGCAGCAAAAGGAUUGGCCUUUCUCCAUGGUGGCCCUGAACCAGUUAUUUACAGAGAUUUUAAGACGUCAAACAUUUUGCUUGACUCGGAAUAUAAUGCUAAGCUUUCAGAUUUUGGUCUAGCAAAAGCUGGGCCUCAAGGGGACAAAACUCAUGUUUCUACAAGGGUUGUUGGGACAUACGGCUAUGCUGCUCCAGAGUAUGUGAUGACAGGACACCUGACAUCUAAGAGUGAUGUUUACAGCUUCGGAGUUGUGCUGCUUGAGAUUUUGACAGGCAGAAGAUCAAUGGACAAGAAGCGACCUAGUGGUGAACAGAAUCUAGUUGCAUGGGCACGACCUUAUUUAGCUGACAAGAGAAAGAUGUACCAGCUAGUGGAUCCCAGGUUGGAGCUGAAUUACUCCCUUAAAGCGGUCCAGAAAGUUUCUCAAUUGGCUUACAGCUGCCUCAGUAGGGAUUCAAAGUCCCGUCCUACAAUGGAUGAAGUUGUGAAAGUUCUCACUCCAUUGCAAGAUCUAAACGACCUUGCCAUUUUAUCUUAUCACUCUCGCUUGUCUCAACAAGGGAAGCGCAAGAAGAAAAGUGAAGGAGCGCAGCAGCACGCAAAUGUAUCUUCCAAAAGCAUCAGAGAUUCUCCCUUGAAUACUGGCAAGCAGCGUUAUAGAUGAGGGCAAUCGAUUCAAUCUCCUUGAUUGAUUCAAGUAUCAAGAAAAACAAAGCUCCUGCUUAGAGUUUACACCAAGCAUGGUCCAGAUUCAAAAGUUGAGGACUUCGUAUCAGUUCUUUAUAAUGGGUGCACUGUGCAGGCUCUGGCCGCGUUUGACCAUAGAAGCUUAGCAUCGUAGUCAUGUCCAAGACAAGCCACUGAUAUGUUUCCAGCAAAAUCAGCACUUAUGCUAUCAACAAAGAUACGAGGGGUGUGUAUAUAUAUAUAUAUAUAUAUAUAUAUAUAUAUAUAUGAGUUGAGCAUAAGAAUCUUUGAAAUAAGCACUUUAAAUAUCAGUUGCAUGCAUCUCAUAUUCAAACUAGAAUCUCAUUUUGCUUCAACCUACUCUCCAAGUUAUUCACAGUAAAGGUUUCUAAUGACAGAUGCAUCUCAUCAUGUAUGCAUUCACAUUAGAAUCAUAUUUUGCUUUAAUUUAUAAUGCCAAUCAUUUCUGAAAA